AGUGAACGCUGGCGGUAGGCCUAACACAUGCAAGUCGAACGGCAGCACAGUAAGAGCUUGCUCUUACGGGUGGCGAGUGGCGGACGGGUGAGGAAUACAUCGGAAUCUACUUUUUCGUGGGGGAUAACGUAGGGAAACUUACGCUAAUACCGCAUACGACCUACGGGUGAAAGCAGGGGAUCUUCGGACCUUGCGCGAUUGAAUGAGCCGAUGUCGGAUUAGCUAGUUGGCGGGGUAAAGGCCCACCAAGGCGACGAUCCGUAGCUGGUCUGAGAGGAUGAUCAGCCACACUGGAACUGAGACACGGUCCAGACUCCUACGGGAGGCAGCAGUGGGGAAUAUUGGACAAUGGGCGCAAGCCUGAUCCAGCCAUACCGCGUGGGUGAAGAAGGCCUUCGGGUUGAAAAGCCCUUUUGUUGGGAAAGAAAAGCAGCAGGUUAAUACCCCGCUGUUCUGACGGUACCCAAAGAAUAAGCACCGGCCAACUUCGUG
RNAcentral lists this ribosomal RNA (492 nucleotides) under uncultured bacterium. Its description in RNAcentral is "partial 16S ribosomal RNA". It matches the Rfam family "Bacterial small subunit ribosomal RNA", at positions 29 to 507 of the family's 1533-position model. The record is from RNAcentral.